This 495-nucleotide ribosomal RNA is filed under the name Chrysomela interrupta. RNAcentral's name for it is "partial 16S ribosomal RNA". The stretch from base 368 to 495 matches the Rfam family "Bacterial large subunit ribosomal RNA", at positions 2473 to 2601 of the family's 2925-position model. The record is from RNAcentral. Lineage: Eukaryota; Metazoa; Arthropoda; Insecta; Coleoptera; Chrysomelidae.
UAAUUUGGAUCUAGUCUGCCCAAUGAUAAUUGAAUGGCCGCGGUAUUUUGACCGUGCUAAGGUAGCAUAAUCAAUAGUUUUUUAAUUGAAAGCUGGAAUGAAGGGUUGGAUAAAAAAAUAACUGUUUUUAUUUAAUUUAAUUAGAAUUUUAUAUUUAAGUUAAAAAGCUUAAAUUUUGUUAAAAGACGAGAAGACCCUAUAGAGUUUAAUAAAUAAUUAUAUUAUUAUAUUUAGAAUUAACUUUAUUAGUUAUAUUAUUUAUUUAAUUGGGGUGAUUAAAAAAUUCAAAUAACUUUUUUUAUAUUAUAACAUUUAUAGAUGAAUAUUUGAUCCAUGGUUAAUGAUUAAAAGAUAAAAUUACCUUAGGGAUAACAGCGUUAUUUUUUUUUAGAGUUCAAAUCGAAAGAAAAGAUUGCGACCUCGAUGUUGGAUUAAAAUAAAUUUUUGGUGUAGAAGCUAAAAUAUUAGGUCUGUUCGACCUUUAAAAUUUUACAU